AGGCCGUUAGCUCAGCUGGCAGAGCACCGGACUUUUAAUCCGGGUGUCGCGGGUUCGACUCCCGCACGGCCUACCA
RNAcentral lists this transfer RNA (76 nucleotides) under Bacillota bacterium. Its description in RNAcentral is "tRNA-Lys". It matches the Rfam family "tRNA". Rfam says of the family: Transfer RNA (tRNA) molecules are approximately 80 nucleotides in length. Their secondary structure includes four short double-helical elements and three loops (D, anti-codon, and T loops). Further hydrogen bonds mediate the characteristic L-shaped molecular structure. tRNAs have two regions of fundamental functional importance: the anti-codon, which is responsible for specific mRNA codon recognition, and the 3' end, to which the tRNAs corresponding amino acid is attached (by aminoacyl-tRNA synthetases). tRNAs cope with the degeneracy of the genetic code in two manners: having more than one tRNA (with a specific anti-codon) for a particular amino acid; and 'wobble' base-pairing, i.e. permitting non-standard base-pairing at the 3rd anti-codon position. The record is from RNAcentral. Lineage: Bacteria; Bacillati; Bacillota.